GUUUCCUUAGACUGCCAGAAAGUUCAUCACAAGACCUCUCUCCCCUUCACUCUGGUGGGAGAUGCAACAAUGGCCUUGAGAACAGCAGGAAGUGUGUUGGUGGUCUUUCUCUGGUCUGUAGCAGCUGUACUGGGGCAGAAUGGCUGGAGUGUGACUAACACCACAGUAUUUGUACCUUGAAGGGGUCAUCAGUGGAACUGUCCUGCUCUUACACAUAUCCCAGUUGGUAUAAAGUCACAACAACCUUCUGGUUCACCAAAAUUGUUGCUGUGGAGAAUUAUGUGAGUCUGAGUGA
Long non-coding RNA from Coregonus clupeaformis (lake whitefish), 295 nucleotides. RefSeq lists it as uncharacterized. The record is from RefSeq and is a predicted model, not a curated record. The transcript has 3 exons. Lineage: Eukaryota; Metazoa; Chordata; Actinopteri; Salmoniformes; Salmonidae.